Long non-coding RNA from Vespa crabro (European hornet), 1426 nucleotides. RefSeq lists it as uncharacterized. The record is from RefSeq and is a predicted model, not a curated record. The transcript is spliced from 3 exons. NCBI's taxonomy places the organism in Eukaryota, Metazoa, Arthropoda, Insecta, Hymenoptera, Vespidae.
AUAAUAAUUUAUAUUUAUUACGCCAAAUUCCUGCACACUAUAUAUAUUAAAUUAGAAUAUAUAAAACCAAUUGAAUUUGUCAAGACUUUCGUCUUGGUUUGAGCAAUUUUUUUUUAAUAAGAAUAAUAGCAACAAAAAUAAGUUUUGAUCUAGUGCUUUGAAAAUUAAACCUAUUCUUGAGUAUAUUUGGUGUGCUAAUUUCAUAAUAGCAUCGGAUUCACUAUAUCAGCUGUAGUUUUGACAUAUAGCAUAGAUAUCGGUAUGCAGAAAUUAUAAUUUAAUAAUAAAUGUACAUCAUGGCUUCCUCAAGAAGAAACUGUCUAAACCAUCCAAAUGUCUUUUGCUACUUGCAAAAGUCUGUGGCUAUUGCAUUUUGAAAGAUAUUAAGAAACCUAUCCCUGAAUUUGUGAAGAGGGCAUAUCUUAGUUAUUUUCAUGUCAAGCUUGGAGAUCAAGGUUUAGAAGGAAUCCAAAGAUCCUCAUUCAGACUGCUAUUUUUGUCUUGUCAACAUCAAGAACAUCAAACGAAACAAUUGUAGCAAGUAGACAUAACCAGACCUAGAUUAAACAAGGUAACCUCAGCCACACCCAAAUGAAGUAUUUAUUCUAUUUUUCAUUCACCUAUCAGAACUUUUAGAGGAUGAUAAAUCACACAUAUUUGAUGAAAUUCAAGAUAACAUAAAUGAAUAGUUAUUUUAUAGGAAAUCCAUCAAAACUUUAACAAUUUAACCAACAUGAACUGAUCGACUUAAUGUGAGAUCAGAAUUUCUCAAAGAAAUCUUUUUAAUUGCUAAUAUCCAAAUUUUCAAAGAAAAGAAUUUAUUUUAAUGAUACUGGUCUUCGUAGAUCUCACGUUAGAAAGUUCUAUAAAAGAAACUUUUUAUACGUUGAAUAAUUGAUCAUAUUAUAUACUCAACUGCUUUAAUAAUAUGUGACAAUAUGUAAUCAGUAAUAAUAAUUUCACUAAUAUUUUUCGAAUCAUAUAGAAACAUAGCAGAUCAUAUAAUUAAAGAUGUUGAAUUUUUAUGGACGAUCUGUUGAAUUUGUAUAUGAAACUGUUAUGCCGUAUUUCCAAAACUGUAAUUGAUAAAAUAAAACUUGCUAUUUUUGAAAUCAAUACCCCCCAAAAAACUCAAGAAUUGGUCUUUGUAUAACAUUUUAGGCACCAAAAUGUGUUGGACAGUGAUAUAAAUACUGAUGAUAUUAACGAGUUUUAUUGUAAUAGGUGUAGAUUUUCAACACAGCCGAUAAAUGUGAUAAUUUGCGGUUCGAAUAUUAUUCGUUAAAUGUGCUGUGAAAUAUUUUUUAAACGUUACAAAGAAUUCAAAUUUCUAUAUGAAUAUCCGAUAUAGCAACUUCUUUAAAAUAGAAAAAAAUAAUUUUUUUAUUGUUAUACUUUAUUUGCGACGUUAUCAAAUUUAAUAAAU